RNAcentral lists this ribosomal RNA (445 nucleotides) under uncultured bacterium. RNAcentral's name for it is "bacterial SSU rRNA". It matches the Rfam family "Bacterial small subunit ribosomal RNA", at positions 29 to 514 of the family's 1533-position model. The record is from RNAcentral.
AACGAACGCCGGCGGCAUGCCUAACACAUGCAAGUCGAACGAUGGCUUCGGCCAUAGUGGCGCACGGGUGAGUAACGCGUGGGAACCUGCCUUUUGGUUUGGGAUAACUCCGGGAAACUGGAGCUAAUACCGGAUGAGCCCGAGCAAUCGGGGAAAGAUUUAUCGCCAAAAAGAGGGGCCCGCGUCCGAUUAGGUAGUUGGUGGGGUAACGGCCUACCAAGCCUACGAUCGGUAGCUGGUCUGAGAGGAUGAUCAGCCACACUGGGACUGAGACACGGCCCAGACUCCUACGGGAGGCAGCAGUGGGGAAUAUUGGACAAUGGGCGCAAGCCUGAUCCAGCAAUGCCGCGUGGAUGAUGAAGGCCUUAGGGUUGUAAAGUCCUUUCGGCGGGGACGAUGAUGACGGUACCCGCAGAAGAAGCCCCGGCUAACUUCGUGCCAGCAG